UACAGAGGUCUCAAGCGUUGUUCGGAUUCAUUGGGCGUAAAGGGUGCGUAGGUGGCGCUGUAAGUCAGGUGUGAAAUUUCGGAGCUUAACUCCGAAACUGCAUUUGAUACUGCGGUGCUCGAGGACUGGAGAGGAGACUGGAAUUUACGGUGUAGCAGUGAAAUGCGUAGAGAUCGUAAGGAACACCAGUGGCGAAGGCGGCUCACUGGCCCGGUACUGACGCUGAGGUGCGAAAGCGUGGGGAGCAAACAGG
RNAcentral lists this ribosomal RNA (253 nucleotides) under uncultured bacterium. RNAcentral describes it as "partial 16S ribosomal RNA". It matches the Rfam family "Bacterial small subunit ribosomal RNA", at positions 524 to 776 of the family's 1533-position model. The record is from RNAcentral.